CUUGACCUCAAAUCAGGUAGGACUACCCGCUGAACUUAAGCAUAU
RNAcentral lists this ribosomal RNA (45 nucleotides) under Melanogaster vittadinii. RNAcentral describes it as "partial 28S ribosomal RNA". The record is from RNAcentral. Lineage: Eukaryota; Fungi; Basidiomycota; Agaricomycetes; Boletales; Melanogastraceae.